UUCAGCAUGGCAAUUUGUUUUUGGCAAAGCUACAAGCAGUUGAAAACUGCAUCUUGCAGUGGAAAAUGUCGGGAUAAUUUUAGACAUUAUCACCUCAAUGAAUUUCAUGAUGAUGACGAUGAUUACAUUCAUCUCCAAGAGAUUCCCUGCUGCAGAGGAGCGCACCAACGUAGCAGCGUUCACUUCUCUUCCAUCAAACAAUUUCAAGACCAGUUUUCUCUCAGAGCUGUCCUGAUUGGAAAACAUGGAGUGCUUGGAAAUGCUCGUGAAGUAAAGCAGCAAGGAGCACAGCUGUCUGGAGGGAGAUGUGCCAAAGGAGUCACAGCCAUCACUCUGCAAUUUAUACAGCCUCGAUAAGAAACAUGAAGGUAAUUUCUACAGAUAAA
RNAcentral lists this long non-coding RNA (386 nucleotides) under Struthio camelus australis. RNAcentral describes it as "lncRNA (ENSSCUG00000016695.1)". The record is from RNAcentral. Lineage: Eukaryota; Metazoa; Chordata; Aves; Struthioniformes; Struthionidae.